UACGGAGGGUGCAAGCGUUAUCCGGAUUCACUGGGUUUAAAGGGUGCGUAGGCGGGCAUUUAAGUCAGUGGUGAAAUACCUGAGCUUAACUUGGGAACUGCCAUUGAUACUAUUUGUCUUGAAUAUCGUGGAGGUUAGCGGAAUAUGUCAUGUAGCGGUGAAAUGCUUAGAUAUGACAUAGAACACCCAUUGCGAAGGCAGCUAACUACGCGAUCAUUGACGCUGAUGCACGAAAGCGUGGGGAUCAAACAGG
RNAcentral lists this ribosomal RNA (253 nucleotides) under uncultured bacterium. Its description in RNAcentral is "partial 16S ribosomal RNA". It matches the Rfam family "Bacterial small subunit ribosomal RNA", at positions 524 to 776 of the family's 1533-position model. The record is from RNAcentral.